GACGAACGCUGGCGGCGUGCUUAACACAUGCAAGUCGAACGAAGAGCGACGGAAGCUUGCUUCUAUCAAUCUUAGUGGCGAACGGGUGAGUAACGCGUAAUCAACCUGCCCUUCAGAGGGGGACAACAGUUGGAAACGACUGCUAAUACCGCAUACGAUCUAACCUCGGCAUCGAGGAUAGAUGAAAGGUGGCCUCUACAUGUAAGCUAUCACUGCAGGAGGGGAUUGCGUCUGAUUAGCUAGUUGGAGGGGUAACGGCCCACCAAGGCGAUGAUCAGUAGCCGGUCUGAGAGGAUGAACGGCCACAUUGGGACUGAGACACGGCCCAGACUCCUACGGGAGGCAGCAGUGGGGAAUCUGCCGCAAUGGACGAAAGUCUGACGGAGCAACGCCGCGUGAGUGAUGACGGCCUUCGGGUUGUAAAGCUCUGUUAAUCGGGACGAAAGGCCUUCUUGCGAAUAGUGAGAAGGAUUGACGGUACCGGAAUAGAAAGCCACGGCUAACUACGUG
RNAcentral lists this ribosomal RNA (510 nucleotides) under uncultured bacterium. Its description in RNAcentral is "partial 16S ribosomal RNA". It matches the Rfam family "Bacterial small subunit ribosomal RNA", at positions 28 to 507 of the family's 1533-position model. The record is from RNAcentral.